GUUUUUUUUUUGUAGUGGGAAAAAUUCCUAAGCAACCGAAUAUGGACGUAUGUAAUAAUAGUUAUCAUAGAUCGCAGAGGGCGGAAUGCAUAAUUGCUAUGAAACAUUUUUUUAAGCUUGGCAUUGGUGAAUAAGAUGCAAUGAAAAUGUACAAGAAUAAGUACAAAUUCACCUCGGAGGUGGUAGCAUAUGGCUGCAUCUACCAACUUGCACACAAAACAUCUAUGGUCUAUGAACACCUGACUGAUGCUUUAGAUGAAUUUAUUGGCAGUGUGGUUUUUGGUUAGCCACUGAUGUUCUAGUUCAUGUCUCGAGUUUGUGAAGAUGAGCGGAAGAGCCAGAUAUGGGUCACAGAGGAUGGCACUAUGGAUAAAUAUAACGACUCAUUUGAGGAUGUCCUCCUACUCCAAAACAAUCCACAGUUAAUGGACAAAAACUUCAACAUCCUCCGGGAGAGAAUCGGCACAAACACAUUACAAAUAGAGAUGCUAGCAUACAAAUACACCAACUGAAAGAACAUGCGGUGCCCCAUGUUUGGUUUUGGUAAUUGAUAACAAUCUCUAUGGACUAAUGGUUGCCUUGAGUUAUAUUUGAAGGUUUUGUCCAUAGGCUUUUCUUGGAGUACAUGUGUUUGUUUCAAGGAGAGUUUGUGUCUAUCAAGGUGUUAUUCAAGGAAUUAUCCAAAGAUUAGUCAUGUGAGAGUUGAGCUUAUUGCAAGCAUGUCUUGAAGAAGAAGAUUGUGUGAUCAUUCAUGUCUACCUUUGUAACGCCCGGAUAAUUAAGCUACAGUAAUUUUCUGCUGAUGAUGCCACGUCAUCACUGUUACUGUUGUUAAACUCGCGUUGGUUCGUAUCCGGUCCAAAUUUAAAUUUAAAAUAAAGUCAAAAAUAAAAGUUUUUUUUUAAUGUCAAAACCAAAAUGUGCAGGCUGUGGAAAAUAAUUCAUAAAUAUUAUUGGAGAAGAAACCAAAUUCUUAUAAGAUGUUUAGGUGCUCAAAAAUAAAUAAAACAGUGGCUUAAACAAUUAUUCAAAUGCCUUUUGUAAUUUCUAAAAUGUUAAGCUAUUUUAUUUUUGGGUGAAACUUUUUGUGGCAUUGGUAUAAUUAGGAAUAAUAUUUUAGGAACAAAUUCUAUAUUUUAUAGAACUCUAAUAAAUUAAAAGUUGAGUGAAAACAGAGCAGAAAAUAAACAAUAGAAAAAUAAAACCCAAACAACAAAACAAAACAAAUCCCCUCCCCAUCUCCCCUGUUCACGCGAUCGUGGACACCGGCGAUGGCCGCCACGGCAGAGGGCGUCGCCGUGGCGCCCAUCCGCCACCCCUCCGGCGCCUACUUAACCGGUGUCCCCCCUCUCCACGCGAACCCUAAUCCCCACUUCCCCCCUUGCGCCCCCAACCCCUCGAGCCCGCCCCGUGGAUGCCCGGAGCCGCGUCGCCAUUGGUCCUCGCCUUCCCGUCGCCUCGUCGACACGUCUUCCUCCGCCACGGACACCGCACACUCAUCGUCGAUUCGUUUCACCACGAGUCCCUCCAGCAUCACCGAGCAGCUCCUAGUCAACAAUGUGAGCAGGCGCCCGAACCCCUUCUGUUUCACCAUCUAAUCCGUGCCCAUUGCCUAGCUAGACGUCGCGUCCGAAGCUCACCAUCGCAGUUCAUGUCGCCACCGCGGCCACUGCUCGCGAAGCUCACGACGAGCUCCGCUUCGUGUUCCUGGAGUUCUCAGGAACCCGUAGCACCCAACCCCGUCGCUUCCCGUGUCCUACAUCGCCUCCUUGAGUUCUCCAUGGCGCCAUCGAAGCAUCGCGUCCGCGCUCCUGCGCGCUCGUGUAACCGCCGCGGCCUGUCCGUGCCCACCUGCGCUGCUGCCGCUAGUUGCUUCUGCUGCUGAUGGCUGCUGCUCUCGCCGCCGUUCUCUGCCACUUGUGUUCGCCUGCAACUUUGCUGCUGUCGCCGGCGCUCCCUGCGUGCGCCCGCCGGAGCACCCCGGCCGCGCCCGCGCAUACGCGCGCCCGUCCGCCUCGUGCACGGCUUUGCCUCCCCUGCUGCAGCGCCCCAGCCCGCUUGCUCCCACCGCUACUUGCUGUAUUGAUGCUUGUACUGUAGUCUGUAGGUGCUGCUAGCUAGCUUUGCAAAUCCUACACUAACUAACCCUUUGGACAGCCUCUAAACAUACACUAAACAAUUGUUAACAGGUCUAAGAAGAAUAUGAGUAGAAAGUAUACUUGACAAACUUCAUUUUAUCCCACUGGACCAAAUCCUUUCGAUGCAUCGAUUAAAUCCUAUAAAAAUCACAAAAUGCCAUCUUCUCUUACACCUAGCAUUGUGUGUGUAUACAGCCACCACUGCCCGGGCCGUACAAAUUAGUUUAGGGGAUAAUUUCUAGUUAGUUUAAUUGCUAGCCAAUGAUAAGAGGGGCCCAUGUUUAGAUUAGAUAAAUCUACUUAGGAAUUUAAUAAAACUAAUUAACUUUUAGUUAAUUUCGCUGACAUGUGGCCCUGCUGUAAAUUAAAAUGAUAGAUUAAACUAAAAGUGCCUAAGUCUAUGACAGCCGGGACCCACCUUUACUAUUCACUGCUGACUGGACCCUCCCUGACCCACUGUCAGCCUCUGUGUACACAAAGCUGGCUACACAUAGCAAUUUGUUAUUUAAUUUUGAAUUAAAAUAAUUUCAAAAUAUUGUUUAAAUCUUUGAAAAAUCAUAGAAAAUAAUCCGUAACUCGGAUGAAAAAGUUUUAUACAUGAAAGUUGCUCAGAACAACGAGACGAAUCCGGAUACGCAGCCCGUUCGUCCGCCACGCAUCCCGAGCAUAGUGAACAUACAAAUUUUCCCCUCCGAUUCAUCUGUCCGAAAACGCGAAACACCGAGGAUAUUUUCCCGGAUGUUUCCCCCCUUCACCGGUAUCACCUCAUACCGUGUUAGGGCACCCCUAGCACCGUUACUUGACAUGUCAUGCAUCGUCAUGCAUCUGUUUGCUUAAUAUUUAUUGUUUCUUUCCCCUCUUCUCUCGCUAGACACCGAGACCGACGCCGCUGCUACCCAGUACGACUACGGUGUUGACGAUCCCUUUCUCUUGCCAGAGCAACCAGGCAAGACCCCCCUCUUGAUCACCAGAUAUUGCUUACUCUUCUCUAUACUGCUUGCAUUAGAGUAGUGUAGCAUGUUACUGCUUUCCGUUAAUCCUAUCCUGAUGCAUAGCCUGUCAUUGUUGCUACAAUUGUUGAUACCUUACCUGCAAUCCUGCAUGCUUAGUAUAGGUUGCUAGUAGUUCAUCAGUGGCCCUACAUUCUUGUCCGUCUUCCAUGCUAUACUUUCGGGCCGUGAUCACUCGGGAAGUGAUCAUGGGUAUAUACAUACAUAUAUACAUACUAUCAAGCGGUGACUAAAGUCGGGUCGGCUCGUUGAGUACCCGCAAGUGAUUCCGAUGUUGGGGGCUGAAGGGGCAGGUGGUUCCACCCAGGUAGUGGUGGGCUUGGGUUCCCGACGGCCCCCGACUAUUACCUUGAGGCGGAGCGACAUGGCAGGUUGAGACCACCUAGGAGAGAGGUGGGCCUGACCCUGGUCGGCUUCCGUGGAUAUGUCAGCAUAACAUGCUUAACGAGAUCUUGGUAUUUGAUCUGAGUCUGGCCGCUGGCCUAUACGCACUAACCAACUACGCGGGAACAGUUAUGGGCACUCGACGUCGUGGUAUCAGCCGAAGCCUUCCUGACGUCAGCGACUGAGCGGUGCGCGUCGGGUUGGACUGGAACGCCUGCUCUUGUAUAAGGGAGGCUAGGUCUGCUCGCCGGCCGCGUUCGCAACGUGCAGGUGUGCAAUGGGCGAUGGGCCCAGACCCCUGCGCCAUAGGAUUUACACCGGCAUGCUGACCUCUUUGUUGUGCCUAGGUAGGGUUGCGACGUGUUGAUCUUCCGAGGCCGGGCAUGACCCAGAAAAGUGUGUCCGGACAAAGGGGAUCAAGCGUGUUGGGAAAUGUGGUGCACCCCUGCAGGGAAGUUAAUCUAUUUGAAUAGCCGUGAUCUUCGGUAACAGGACGACUUAGAGUUGUACCUUGACCUUUUGCCAACUAGAACCGGUUACUUAAUAAAACACACCCUUCCAAGUGCUAGAUACAACCCGGUGAUCGCUCUCUAACAGGGCGAUGAGGAGAGGAUCGCCGGGUAGGAUUAUGCUACACGAUGCUACUUGGUGAACUUACCAUCUACUCUCUUCUACAUGCUGCAAGAUGGAGGUUGCCAGAAGCGUAGUCUUCGAUAGGACUAGCUAUCCCCCUCUUAUUCCGGCAUUCUGCAGUUUAGUCCACAUAUGAUACCCCUUUUCCAUUUGAUACCAAUGCAUACAUAUGUAGUGUAGCUCCUUGCUUGUGAGUACUUUGGUGAGUACUCACGGUUGCUUUGUUUCCCCUUUUCCCCCUUCCUAUACCCGAUUGCUGCGACCAGACGAUGGAGUCCAGGAGCUAGAAGCCACCGUUGACGAUGACUCCUACUACACAGGAGGUGCCUACUACUACGUGCGGCCCGCUGACGACGACCAGGAGUAGUUUAGGAGGAUCCCAGGCAGGAGGCCUGCGCCUCUUUCGGUCUAUAUCCCAGUUUGUGCUAGCCUUCUUAAGGCAAACUUGUUUACUUACGUUUGUACUCAGAUAUUAUUGCUUCCGCUGACUCGUCUAUGAUCGAGCUCUUGUAUUCGAGCCCUCGAGGCCCCUGGCUUGUAAUAUGAUGCUUGUAUGACUUAUUUUAUUUGUAGAGUUGUGUUGUGAUAUCUUCCCGUGAGUCCCUGAUCUUGAUCGUACACGUUUGCGUGUAUGAUUAGUGUACGAUUGAAUCGGGGGCGUCACAACCUUCAAGACAUCAUCCAAAUGAAGAGAAUUGGAAAGGUUUAAGGUUGAUCAAGACUAAGUCAAGAGUGAAUCAAGUUGAUCAACUCACAAAGCGCAGAAGAUGUACCGAAAGGGAUCAAGUGGUCCCAUGGUAUGGUAAGCAUUGUCAAUUACGCUUUGUAUACUAACCCAUGGUCUUCGUGAGAGUUCUGUGUGGGGUUAGGUUGCCGUGUGCAAGUUCAAGUGAUGCAUCACAAAGAGAUCAAGUGCUUGAAGCUUGCCUUCCAUUGUGGUGACAAUGGACUUGUGAAGAUGUGCGUAAGAGUUUCUCACCCAUAGUGGAGUAUGGGGGAGCAAUCUACUAGUCUUCACCAAGCCACCGCAAUCAAGAAAGGUGGUCCAACUUGAGAAAGUCAAGAUCAUCAUCAUGUAGCUCAAGUGGACUAUGUGCAAGACAAAGGUUUGCCCUUGAUAGGUUUUCUAUUUUACCGGUCUCAUAGUGGUAGUCGGGAGACCGGGUUAUAGGAUUGAUUGCCGUACUAUCAAGAGGGGCUCUCGAUGAGUAGCUUGAUCGUAUCGUUCGUAGAGAGUUCAAACCAUUGCAUCCUUGCAUCAUCUUUAUUGGUUCUUGUUUGGUUCUUCUCUUUGUGAGUUUUGGAGCUUAUGGUCAUCUUGAUGACAAGCUCGAGUUCAUCAAAAACGGAGUUCACAUGCAUCUUCUAUGAUGUUUUCGAUGUUGGAGGUUUUGCCGGUUCUUCUCGGUUGGAGGUUUGAUACGUCUCCAACGUAUCUAUAAUUUUUGAUUGCUCCAUGCUAUAUUAUCUACUGUUUUGGACUAUAUUGAGCUUUAUUUUCCACUUUUAUAUUAUUUUUGGGACUAACCUAUUAACCGGAGGCCCAGCCCAGAAUUGUUGUUUUUUGUCUAUUUCAGUGUUUCGAAGAAACGGAAUAUCAGACGGAGUCCAAACGGAAUAAACCUUUCUGGAACGUGAUUUUCUUCCCGAAUAUGACCCAGGAGACUUGGACCCUACGCCAAGGAAGCUUCGAGGUGGGCACGAGGUAGGGGGCGUGCCGUAUACCCCAAGGCGCGCCCCCCACCCUCGUGGGCCCACCGAAACUCCACCGACGUACUUCUUCCUCCUAUAUAUACCUACGUACCCCCAAACGAACAAAGACGGAGCCAAAAACCUAAUUCCACCGCCGCAACUUUCUGUAUCCACGAGAUCCCAUCUUGGGGCCUGUUCCGGAGCUCCACCGGAGAGGGCCGUCAUCACGAAGGGCUUCUACAUCAUCAUAGCCUCUCCGAUGAAGUGUGAGUAGUUUACCUCAGACCUUAGGGUCCAUAGUUAUUAGCUAGAUGGCUUCUUUUCUCUUUUUGGAUCUCAAUACAAAGUUCUCCCCUCUCUCGUGGAGAUCUAUUCGAUGUAAUCUUCUUCUUUUUGCGGUAUGUUUGUUGAGACCGAUGAAUUGUGGGUUUAUGAUCAAGUCUAUCUAUGAAUAAUAUUUGAAUCUUCUCUGAAUUCUUUUAUGUAUGAUUGGUUAUCUUUGCAAGUCUCUUCGAAUUAUCCGUUUGGUUUGGCCAACUAGAUUGGUAGUUCUUGCCAUGGGAGAAGUGCUUAGCUUUGGGUUCGAUCUUGCGGUGUCCUUUCCCGGUAACAGAAGGGGCAGCAAGGCACGUAUUGCAUCGUUGCCAUCGAGGAUAACAAGAUGGGGUUUAUUUCAUAUUGCAUGAAUUUAUCUCUCUACAUCAUGUCAUCUUGCUUAACGCGUUACUCUGUUUUUAACUUAAUACUCUAGAUGCAUGCUGGAUAGCGGUCGAUGAGUGGAGUAAUAGUAGUAGAUGCAGAAUCGUUUCGGUCUACUUGUCACGGACGUGAUGCCUAUAUACAUGAUCAUGCCUAGAUAUUUUCAUAACUAUGCUCAAUUCUGUCAAUUGCUCAACAGUAAUUUGUUCACCCACCGUAGAAUACUUAUGCUCUUGAGAGAAGCCACUAGUGAAACCUAUGGCCCCCGGGUCUAUUCUCAUCAUAUCAAACUCCAUCACUUUAAUCUUGCUUUGCUUUUUACUUUGCCUUUUUAUUUUCACUUUGCAUCUCUAUACCAAAAAUACCAAAAAUAUUAUAUCUAUCAGAUCUCACUCUCGUAAGUGACCGUGAAGGGAUUGACAACCCCUAAUCGCGUUGGUUGCGAGUAGCUAUCGUUUUGUGCAGGUACGAGGGACUUGAGCGUGGGCUCCUACUGGAUUGAUACCUUGGUUCUCAAAAACUGAGGGAAAUACUUACACUACUCUGCUGCAUCAUCCUUUCCUCUUCGGGGAAAUCCAACGCAAGCUCAAGAGGUAGCAAGGUUUUGAUGCUACUCGUCAUCUUGUUUCCAACAAACUUGAGUUUGCUCAAUUCGGAGCUCAUAUGCAGAAGUUAUGGCAGUUCUGGUUUUCCAUAGAGUAUACUUGCUUUUGUGGAAGUGGCAUAAGGAUGGCGCCAGCGGUAGUACCGCUGGGCCGGAGCGGCAGUACCGCUUAUCGCCACAAACGGUAGUACCGCUGUCCCACAGCAGUAGUACCGCCCAUGGCCAUAAGCGGUAUUACGGCUCCGGUUUCGCGUUGGUACCGCCUCAACUCAAGACGUGGUUUUCUCGUGUCGGGUUCAGCGGCAGUAGGAGCGGUAGUACCGCUCAUGUGCGGUAGUACCGCGGCUACCACCGCCCCUAGUACCGCUCAAUGGCCCUCCUCCCUGUUCCUUCUCCAUGUGCUCGUGGUAGGCGCUAUGCGUGGUCCCAGCGGUAGUACCGCUGACUCCAGCGGUAGUGUCGCUCAUACGGCUCUGCCUCGCACUCUGUUUCGGUCCGCUCAUACGGCUCAUACGGCUCUGCCUCGUGCGCGGACUGAGCACAUAACGAUUGGAUUCGGGAGCUCCUAUAAAAGGGAGUCUUCUUCCCCAUUCAACCUUAUCCUUUGAGCUCAUGUUCUUCCCCCAUUGUUGACCUUCUUCGAGCUUGCUAACUCUCAAUCCCUCCAUGGAUUAUUGCUAGUUUUUGAGGGAAAAGAGAGAGGAGAUCUAGAUCCACAUUUCCACCAAUCACUUUCUCCUCUUUGUGAGGGGAACCCCUUAGAUCUAGAUCUUGGAGUUCUUGGUGCUCUCCUUCUUGUUAUUCCUCUCAUUUUCUUCCCUAGCAUUAGUUGCUUUGGUGGGAUUUGAGAGAGAAGGACUUGGGCACUCCGUGUGCCCUUUCCAUUACAUUUGGUGCAUCGGUUUGAGUUCUCCAUGGUGAUACGUGGAAGUUACAAGUUGAGAAGCUUAUUACUCUUGGGUGCUUGGUACCAUUGAGCUUGUUCCUCUUGGGUGCUUGGGCACCCUAGACGGUUGGUGGUGUUCGGAGCUCAAUCAUUGUGGUGUAAAGCUCUGGGCAAGCGUCGGGGUCUCCAAUUAGGUUCUGGAGAUCGCCCCGAGCAAUUUGACGGGUACCGGUGACCGCCCCCAAGGGUUGCCAAAGUGUACGGGUUCGGUGACCGCCCCCAAGGGUUGCCAUUUGUACGGGUUCGGUGACCGCCCUCAAGGUUCCCUUAGUGGAAUCACGGCAUCUUGCAUUGUGCGAGGGCGUGAGGAGAUUACGGUGGCCCUAGUGGCUUCUUGGGGAGUAUUGUGCCUCCACACCGCUUCAAACGGAGAUUAGCAUCCGCAAGGGUGUGAACUUCGGGAUACAUCAUCGUCUCCGCGUGUCUCGGUUAUCUCUUACCCGAGCCCUUUACUUAUGCACUUUACUUUGUGAUAGCCAUAUUGUUCUUUGUCAUAUAUCUUGCUAUCACAUAGUUGCUUAUCUUGUUUAGCAUAAGUUGUUGGUGCACAUAGGUGAGCCUAGUUGUUUCAGGUUUUGUGCUUGGCAAAUUAACCGCUAGGUUUAUUCCGCAUUUGUUCAAGUCUAAACCGUAAUUAUUUUGAAGCGUCUAUUCACCCCUCCACCCCUCUAGGCGACAUCCACGAUCUUUCACCAACUCUGAAACAAUCCACAAUUAGCGGACAAAAGUCUCAACAUCCUCCAGGGGAGAGUCGGCAAAACACAUUACAAAUAGAGAUGCCAGCAUACAAAUAGACCAAUUUAAGGGCUCCUUUAAUUCAAAGAAAUUGCAUACAACUUCUGUAGGAUUGGAUCCUACUAGAAUUUUUCUUAUCUUUGUACUACUUCCUAUAGGAAAUCUAGCAAUCACUACAAUCUCCGUUUAGAAUUUCUUUGAUGGAAUCUAAAGAAUUUGGUUGCAUACAAAAUCCUGUAGGAUUUGAGCAGGUAAGACACUGCAAUCCCCCUAUCCUAUGAAUUCUCAUAAACGCGGAGUGUUAGAAACAAGAGAUUCUUAUCAAAGUGUACAACCUACUAAAACUGUCUUCAGUUUCCGCUCAUUAGAAAAUCAUCUUGCUGAAGAGAGAAUUCCUUAUUUAACACUGUCUAAAGCUUUGUUUUCUCUAUUUGGCACUGAAAAAAGAGAUAUUUCUUCCCUAUCUAACACAACCUUUAAAUUUUGUUCCCAAUAUAACAAUUUUUUUUCAUGCAAACAAUGCUAAAUGACAUGAAAUGACAAACAUCUAUUCAAUCCUUUUCUCUAUUCCAGUGUCUUAUUUAAGGCUGGAGUCCACGGUUAGUGUAACAGAAUAACACAAAAGGUUCAAGUACGUUGUCUUAUUUAAGGGAACCGUUGUGUAGCACAAGCAAGGCCAAAGGCUCAAGUACGUACAUACAUACGCAGCUAGAGACGAGCACGUUCUUCUUCUAGGGUACGCUGAUGGUUAUCGAAAGCUGGCUAGACUCUGCACCUUCGUUCCUGACAAGCAGACUCCUCACGGACUGCUCAGGAACACUUUCCUUGAAUAAAGCUCUUGAAUGUUGCCUGCAAAAAAAAAAGUUAAUCAAGUUGCCUGUGUAUUUCUGAGCUCGCACGGCGUGCGCUGCAUUUGAGUGAAUCGAUCUAGCAUUCUAAAAUCAACACUCCACCACGGGCUCGCCCAACACCCGCCCGCUCUCGUCCGCUGUGCUUUGGUCGCCCCUGGUGGGAGCUCCUAUUCGGUGCUCCAGGCGCCAGGGAAGCUCACGCGCUGGCACAGGUGGGCCGGCCCAUGUACACAUUCACAUUGGAGAAAAAAUGAAAAAAAGAACAGGAAAAAACAUGAAAAACCAAAAGAAAACAUGAGUUCAAAAAAGUUCAUGGAUUUUUAAAAAAUCUUAAACUUGAAGAAAAAGCUCAUCAAUUUGAAAAGAAGUUCAUAAAUUUAUCUUAAAACACCAUUGAAUUUGAAAAAAAUAACAAAAAAGUUUAUCGAUUUUGAAAAAAGUUCACCUAUUUUUAAAAAAUCAUCAUUUUUGCAAAACUUUCUACUCUCUCUCUCUCGGUUUACAGGGCGUGCGCGCACUCCUAGGUCAUCAAUUUGACCAAACUAAUACAAGUCAUAUAUUACAAAAAAUAUACCAAUAUAAACUUUGGAGUUUCUACUCUCAAAAUGUAUAAUUUUUGUGUUAUAUACUCCCUUCAUUCCUAAAUAUUUGUCUUUCUAGAAAUUUCAAAUGGACUACCACAUACGGAUGCAUAUACACAUAUUUUAGAGUGUAGAUUCACUCAUUUUGCUCCGUAUGUAGUCACUUAUUGAAAUCUCUAAAAAGACAAAUAUUUAGGAACAAAGGGAGUAGUUUAUAUUAGGGUGAUAAAAUUGGCAACCUAGGUAUACGCGCAGGACUUGUAAAUUGAAACGGAGGUAGUAUAAAAAUCAACAAUUUAAAAAAAAAGGUCAUCAAUUCUAUAAAAAGUUCUUAAAAUUGAAAAAAAAAUCAUCAUUUUAAAUAAAAAAAACUUCACCAAUUCUGAGAAAAGUUCACGAAAUUUAAGUAAAAAAGAAAAAAAUAGCUAAAUGGGCCGGCCCAGCUUAGAGGGCUUCAUGAGCUCGUUUGCAAAAUGAACAGUAACGAACCCAUGAAGCACCAAAUAGGUGCGAAGGAAAUGAGUGACCUGACCUGAUUGGUGCUUCUAGUGCCAGGGGUAAACUUGUCAUUUCACGUGUUAUAUGGGGAACAGGAUUUCAACCGAAUUUUUUAUUAUUAAUAAUUAAUAACCCAAUAAUUUGGAAACUAGUGACGGGGAAGUGGAAAUUUUAAAAAUAGUAAGGACGCUAAGUACAAUGGCGUCCACAGCUGGAUACUAUCGAGGAUAGCGUCCAGGUCUGGACGCUAUUAGUAAGUGCGUCCAGUCAAGUGAUUCGCCUAACCAUCAGAUUCGACUAAACCGGGUCUUUCCUAAUGACAGACAGAAGUUACGCGAGGUUUAAAACCCUAGUACGCAUGCAGUCUGCGCUCCUGGAACUCGCCGUAUGGUAAGCAAUCUCUGGCAGCCGGCAACACCGAUCAUCACAGGAGCGGCAAGGUCUCAUCAGCCGCUCGCCAUUAGGAUCCUCCAAUUGACUUUGUGCUUGAUUCAUGUUAGUUGUUGUACUGUCCUACUGAAUCUCCUUUGUUUUAAUCUUUAUGCAAUUGAUUCAAUGAUUUACAAGCAGACACUCUAUAAAUGAUUGGAUUGGUAUUCCUGAAUUACAAUCCUUAAUUGGGUGGUUUGUGAGAAGCCAAAUUUUCAGUCGUGAGUCUAUGGUAGAUCAAUUUAAAAUUGUGAUAUUCACUUGCUGCACGUUCAUGUUUGUAGGUGCAUAUAAGAAUAUGUUAAUCGUUCUGGUUUACGUGGAUGGUGAAGUGCAACAUGGGUCCAUGAGUGUGGAGUAUACUAUUCCUCCCAAGUUAACAUUUCCAGCAUCCGAGAAUACCACUUUUGAAGAUAUCAAGAGUGAGACAUGUCGAGGACUUGCACAUGUUAAUGUCAGUGCUCAAACGAACCUGAAUAUCCAAGCUUGCUUUGAUAUUGGAGCUCCUGGACCACAUUAUUUUCAGUUAAUUCCAAUAUAUGAGGAAAGAGGGUGGAACAUGAUUUUUGAGAAGACCAAGUCCCGGACAACGUGGCAAGUGAUAGAGUUAUAUGUUAACAUCACGCCAAAUCAAGACAUGUUGAGCCAAGUCAGCGGUGGAAGCAACAUACCAAUAAUUGAAAGGCACUUACAAAGGUAUGGAAGUGCAGUGCACUCGUCAUUGCAUCAAACAUCUGCCAGUGGUUUUCCAAAUUCUAGUUCGUGUGGUCUUGAUUUCGACAUGGCACAUGCUCCAUCUUCUACUCAUGGUACUGUGACAAAUGAUUUUCCAACAGGUACUGUCAAUGACCCAUAUGAUCAGGAGGAUACAGAGACAGAGGAGGAUUUUAUGGGACAUGAUGAUGAUGAGCAUGAUUCCGAUGCCGCACCUAGCCAGAGUUCAGACGAAGAUCCAGAACCAAGCGUUAUGCAUCAUGUUAAUGCAUUUCCAUUCAUGCGUACAUGUGGACAGAAUGGCGUGAGAGCCUUUGGUGACAUAUCUAUACUAACGGAGACGACAGCAGAUGAAAGUUUUUUUGGAUGCAAGAAGCACUUUCAAAGCCCAUUGUCAGAGCAGCAAAUUUUUGAUUCAAAAGAGCACCUCAAAAUUGCGAUUGGUGAAUUUCACAUAAACAUGAACUUGAAAGUGAAGUCCAACACAAGCAGUCAAUCUAAACUUGUAGCAGAGUGUAUUGAUGACAGUUGCAUGUGGAGGUUGUAUGCAAUACCAACAAAAAUUGGUUCAUGUUGGCAAAUAAGGAAAUGUCCUUAUUCUCACACUUGUCGUGCACCGGCUAAUAGAACUGACCAUUCUCAGUUAUCGGCCUCUAUAAUUGCAGAUGUGAUUCGUGAAGCACUCAAGGAUGACCUAGAGUUAAGUAUAAAAAAUGUGCGGGCAUUGGUCAAACACCGUUACAGAAAUGUGAGACCAUCAUACAAUAAGUUGUGGCGUGGAAGGGAGAAGGCCAUAGCAUAACUUUUUGGUAGCUGGGAAGGAUCAUACAAUCUUCUCAUCCCCUUCCUCGAGGCUAUUAGAGUAAAAAAUCCAGGUACAAAGUAUGUUCUUCUAUCAAAACCCAUGACAUUAGAAGGGCAUAGAGAAUUUCGAUGUGUUGCUUGGGCAUUUGGACCUUGCAUUGCAGCAGUUCCCCACCUUCGACCUGUAAUAAGUGUGGAUGCAUCAUUUCUAUCAGGAAGAUACAAGGGCCGGUUGAUAAUGGCUUGCGGAUAUGAUGCUAAUAAUAAGUUAAUACCUCUUGCAUUUGCCAUUGUUGAGAAAUAGGACGCUACGAACUGGGGCUGGUUCAUGAGAUGGUUGCGGAGGGAGGUAAUUGGUGUUGGAAAGUUCAUGUGUGUGAUUUCAGAUCGCCACAAAGCAAUCAAAUGGGUGUUUAAGCAACCACACCUUGGGUGGAAUGAAAGUGCUGGCGAGUGUGUGCAUCGCUUUUGCUCUCAACAUGUCGUAGAGAACCUAUACAAAGCUUUUUGUGAUGAUGACAUUUUGAAAAUUUUCAAGUGGGCAGUCAAGAAAAAGAAACCUCGUAGGUUUGAGGAGGGCAUGUCAUCUAUUGAACAUACUUGUCCCGAUGCAACAACAUAUCUUAGAAAGGUCGGUAAGUAUUUGCAGGAAGAUAAAAAUGAGCAAGAGAAGCCUGAGAAAGUAUUUCAAUGCAAGGAUGGGGGUUACCGGUGGGGGAUCAUGACAAGCAAUGGGUCGGAGUCCUUAAACAAUGUGCUUAGGCUUUCCCGAAGGCUACCGGUGGCAGCAAUUGUGGAGGAGACAUUUUCAAAGUGCUUAGAGUGGUUUGUAGAAAGAAGGCGAAGUGCUCUUAACUUGGUUGACGGAGGCAACCAAUGGUCCGAACGGGUGGACAAACUAUUAGUUAAAAGGGGCGACAAGGCAGGACAUAUGCAUGUUAUUUCAUAUGGUGAUGAAGUUGGAAUAUUUGAGGUCAAGGUUGAUAAUGAGAGGGUUGCAUUACACAAUGGAGAUCAUGUUCUUUUUAUUCAUAAAGACUUUAAGUACAAGGUCACUCUGCAACCAAAUACUUCUUCAUCUUGUGACUGCCUAAAGCCAAACCUGACCGAUGUGCCAUGUGCUCAUUUGCUUGCUGUUUGCAAGUACAGGAAUCUAAAUGAAAAUCAAAUAGUUCAUUCAUAUUAUUCCUCUGAAGUACUUGCAAACACUUGGGCUGGACAAUUUCAUCCUUACGGGAACCAAAAUGAGCAAACACUUGGGCCCAUUAUUAUUCUUCAGGAUACUCCACUAGAUAAACCUCAGUAAAUCAUAUUCUCUCUCAGUAUGAGCUAUGCUUACGAAACCAAUGAGAAAUCAUUAAAGCUGCUGCAUCAACAAUAUCAAUCAUUUACUGUCAACUACAUACUCAGCACGGUUCAUUCCACAUAAGGAGAUGGAAGUGCUGAACACUAAGUAGCUAGACAACAACAAUAAGCCACACAUGACAUACUGACAAAUGCAGCUAUGCAGCAACGAUGAAUUCAAAAGGAUCAUCCACACAGUGGAAAACGUAGCAAAUACAGUCAUCCAUCAGCAUCUGAUUUAGAAUCAUGGAAAUGACGCAAUCAUAAGCACACUCACCAUAAUAAACCAGAUUUUGAAGGUUCUCUUUGCUAACUUUCUUAAAUACAUUGCUUUUAAUCUCGGCAAAAUUAUUGGACACCAAAAGAGCCAAUAGUGCAUUGUUAUGUUCAGGAAUAGACUUUUUUUCACUCAGUAUCAAUGUCAAUCUAUUAAUCAGAAGAAGAGACAAAUACCAUGCAAGAAAUAGAAGAUAUUUUCUAGCAUCUAUUGUAGUGUUGGAGAGGAAGAACAUACAGCUUCAGGGGAAAAGUACAGAGCCUACCAUCCUGUGCUCCGGCGGGUGAUGAUUGAGGCUGUGAGGAAUGCUGGGACGAGGAACGGAACAGUUGUGCUGACCGCGGUCGAGAGAAGAGAGAAGGGCCGUCAACUCCGUCAAACUCGCCGUGGUGGCGCAACCUAGUUUGACAGAGGUGGGAGGCUACCACGAGGUGUUCUAGGGGAUGACAGGGAGGCGGCCUUGAGGAGGUGGGCGAGAGAUGAGGUGGAGGGCGGCGGCGGCAGCGGUGGCCAAGGGGGCGAUGGGCCGAAGUUGCUGGAUAGGAGCCCAGCCUAAACGUGGACGUGAUUGAUGCUAGCGUCCAGUCCAGGACGUCGCUUAUACUAGCGUCCGUGCAUGGACGCCGUAAUGCCUAGCGUCCUUACUAUUUCUAAAAAAUGUAAUUAUCCUUUCCUCGUUUCAUAAUUCCGUGAUUACUAAUUACUAUUAAUAAAAAAUUCGGGGAUUUCAAAGUAGGUAUUAAAUAAGGAAGAAAUAUUUCUUCAGAGUCAAAUAGGGAAACGAAAUUUAAAACUGUGUUAAACAAGGAAUUCUUUCAUUGCACAAAGGGAGGUCAAAACAGUGUUUCCUAUUAGACGUGUAAAGAAUAGCUAUAUUUUUUGCAGGGGCAAGAAAUGGCUAUAUGUGAAGAUGCUUUGUACUAGGAAGGCGCUAUUAACAGAUGCUCAUACAGUUAACACAUAACAAAUCAAGAUAUUAGGUCUCUGAAAGAAAUGGAUGCUGUAAUGGGGGUAUGGGCUCCAAGUUCACACCGUGGGCUCCAAGUUCACACCAUGGGCUCCAAGUUCACACCGUGGCAGGGCUUUCUGAAAACAUAUAACAAUCGCAGGUACAAAACCCAGACAAGCUACAUAACUGAAUAAACAGCAGAGUACCAAGUAAUCAAACAAAGGCACCAGACUCAUGUAUAAAAAUCUUAAAAAGAUUGGUCUUCUCAAAAUAGAAACCACGGGCUAAAGAUAGUGUCAACACAAUGGCCAUAGCUCUAUAGGUACGGACUGGUAAUACAGGACUUUGCUUCCGGAUAAAAUUCACCAGCUAGCCAAGUUCUAUUUCUUCUUGUCACCAGCACCACCACCAGCAGACCUGCAUAUCAUGAGACAACAUUUUAGUCAUUUAUAAAACAACCGUUGCAGCAAAACAGAAUGGCAACUAUUUUUUCCUGAAUGUAGAAGACAUUAAAUUGGUCAGGCAAAAGAAAAAACUAAAGAACUACAAGA
This 15839-nucleotide long non-coding RNA is filed under the name Triticum aestivum (bread wheat). Its description in RNAcentral is "long non-coding RNA (TAES_LNC005075)". The record is from RNAcentral. Lineage: Eukaryota; Viridiplantae; Streptophyta; Magnoliopsida; Poales; Poaceae.